RNAcentral lists this ribosomal RNA (366 nucleotides) under uncultured Geobacteraceae bacterium. RNAcentral's name for it is "bacterial SSU rRNA". It matches the Rfam family "Bacterial small subunit ribosomal RNA", at positions 466 to 831 of the family's 1533-position model. Lineage: Bacteria; Pseudomonadati; Thermodesulfobacteriota; Desulfuromonadia; Geobacterales; Geobacteraceae. The record is from RNAcentral.
GGUUUGACGGUACCUAUAAAGGAAGCACCGGCUAACUCCGUGCCAGCAGCCGCGGUAAUACGGAGGGUGCAAGCGUUGUUCGGAAUUAUUGGGCGUAAAGCGCGUGUAGGCGGUUUGUUAAGUCUGGUGUGAAAGCCCUGGGCUCAACCUGGGAAGUGCAUUGGAUACUGGCAAACUUGAGUACGGGAGAGGAUAGUGGAAUUUCGAGUGUAGGGGUGAAAUCCGUAGAUAUUCGAAGGAACACCGGUGGCGAAGGCGGCUAUCUGGACCGAUACUGACGCUGAGACGCGAAAGCGUGGGGAGCAAACAGGAUUAGAUACCCUGGUAGUCCACGCCGUAAACGAUGGGUACUAGGUGUCGCGGGUA